GUUAACUUGGCAGAUUAAUUGUGUCAAAUUUAGAAUUUGAAGAUGGAUUCUCCAGUUGAUA
Molecule: transfer RNA, 61 nt
Filed under: Ornithodoros savignyi
Lineage: Eukaryota; Metazoa; Arthropoda; Arachnida; Ixodida; Argasidae
Description: tRNA-Leu
Source: RNAcentral